Molecule: ribosomal RNA, 634 nt
Filed under: Microbotryum violaceoverrucosum
Lineage: Eukaryota; Fungi; Basidiomycota; Microbotryomycetes; Microbotryales; Microbotryaceae
Description: LSU rRNA
Rfam family: Eukaryotic large subunit ribosomal RNA
Source: RNAcentral
UGCAUAUCAAUAAGCGGAGGAAAAGAAACUAACAAGGAUUCCCCUAGUAACGGCGAGUGAAGCGGGAAAAGCUCAAAUUUGUAAUCUGGCGCCUUUGGCGUCCGAGUUGUAAUCUCGAGAAGUAUUUUCCGCGCUGGACCGCACAUAAGUCUGUUGGAAUACAGCGUCAUAGUGGUGAGAACCCCGUAUAGGGUGCGGAUGCCCAGUGCUUUGUGAUAUACUUUCGAAGAGUCGAGUUGUUUGGGAAUGCAGCUCAAAUGGGGUGGUAAAUUCCAUCUAAAGCUAAAUAUUGGCGAGAGACCGAUAGCGAACAAGUACCGUGAGGGAAAGAUGAAAAGCACUUUGGAAAGAGAGUUAACAGUACGUGAAAUUGUUGAAAGGGAAACGCUUGAAGUCAGACUUGCGUUUUGGAGUUCAGCCGCAAGGUGUAUUCUUCAAUUCGCAGGCCAGCAUCAGUUUUUGGGGGUGGAAAAGCGCGGAUGGAAGGUAGCAGUCUCGGCUGUGUUAUAGCUUUCCGCUGGAUUCACUUUUGGGGACUGAGGAACGCAGUACGCUUUUUGCAAGACCCUCGGGUCUUUCGUACUUAGGAUGCUGGUGGAAUGGCUUUAAACGACCCAUCUUGAAACACGGACCA